Molecule: transfer RNA, 66 nt
Filed under: Dipodomys ordii (Ord's kangaroo rat)
Lineage: Eukaryota; Metazoa; Chordata; Mammalia; Rodentia; Heteromyidae
Rfam family: tRNA
About the family: Transfer RNA (tRNA) molecules are approximately 80 nucleotides in length. Their secondary structure includes four short double-helical elements and three loops (D, anti-codon, and T loops).
Source: Rfam by way of RNAcentral
GAGAAAGUGGCUCAGUGGUAGAGUGCUUGCCUUGCAUGCAUGAGACAUAGACUGCUAUAGUUUUCA